GUUUAGAUGGGAAACAGGAGCCGGGCUGCUAGCCAGUUACCUUAAUAUCUCCAGACCAACACCACUGGCAACUUCCUGGAAAGACUUAUUAAUAGGCGGCAACUUGGCAGUCAGGACCGGACCGAGGAGCUGAUCCUGGAAUGCAACAGGGGAACCACAUCGAUUUAUAGGCAACCUUUCCAUGCGAGAUCAGCAGGGAUAAGUGGUGGGAUAAGACUCCAAAGGAAGGUGGGUGCUCUGGAUCCAGCUCCGCGGCUGGCCUUCUGUCCCUGAGCGCUGCAGGGACCAGGCCACGGCUGAGAGACACAUGCGGAUACCAAGGACAGGGAGUCCUGACCACCACAGGGUCAAAACCGGAGAUCGGGCACGAUGGACGGAACAGACAACCCACUGUCAUCAAUGAGUAAAUAUAAAAUUCCUAUGGCAUCGAAACAGACUGAAUGUUUCAGAAUAAUAAUAAUAAUAAUUGCACUGGGUGAUUGUGGUCUGUUUGCACUUAAAGUGCAUCCUAAAUCACUAACAGAAGGCACCCUCUGCAGUCACCUCCACAUCUAUGCUCAGCCGUGAGGGAGCACGAGAUGAGAAGAUAAGAUAACACAAGACUUUAGACUUAUCUUCGUACAUUGACACCUGCGAAUGAGCACCUGCCCCCUGCCAUUCACCAGGUGUGGGUGGGGGUGGGGGACUGUUGUCAGGGCCACGGCCAGGGUGUGUCACAGUGUCACAGACCCACGUUCAGCAUGCUAGGAGAUGUGAGGAAUAAAACUAUUAAAUUAACCACUUCUGAUUAGUGCGGGGAUGAAUGGCUGGAGAACUCGCACAACCCUAAUCGUGAUGAACCGAUGCUCCUCAGGAAGACUCCUGUUAAAAUCCCUCAGAUUUACCAACGUGUUAACCGGCACUCCAAAAAAACACAUCCAAGCGCCAUAAAGUGCAAUGGAUCGCCUACAUACGGUACACCACAUUUCAGCCAUUUUAAAAACCUCUAAGUAAUGCUGCAGCCCUCAAAGCAGAUCAACAGGAGCCCCACAGGUCUCCAGGACCAAGCACGGGUGCAGGAGACCACACACUCAAACAGACACUGACUGGCAUCAACAUCCUGCUCAUCAGGGCUUGCACUUCACUGCCAUUUUGUGCCUAAGAACCUAACACCACAAACUACCUUCUGUAAACCACAGCACAGGUAAAAGGUAUCACAAAGGCAGCUAUUCAGAAGCUCAUGUUUGAAUUGAUACAUAAAACUGUUGGAGAAACAUACCAGGGUGAGGUUUAUUUGCACAUUAUGCUGUUUAAUCUAAAGGCUUAAAACUACCCCCGAAUCGCCCCACACACACACACACACACACACACACACACUACUCCGGGCACUUUGAGAGUCAAGUGGCCGAGAAACGAUACAGGACAUGUGAGGUUUGCGGUGAGCAUAGGGAAAGAGGGUUCACUCAAAGGCCAGCCUAAGAGGCCGUAUAUUAAAUAUCAUUAUUGCCGACGGCAUAUAAAGGAAACGCUGCUUUAGACGCAGAUCAGCGGAGCGCACGGCUGUCAUGCAAAAUGCAUGGACGCCAAAACUUAAUUUCGCACUUAGAUUGCCUGUUAACAUAUCUAGGCUUUGUUUCAGUGCCAAAUACAACUUUUACGGCUGUUGGUGUACAUCCCCUAUACUUCCACAGUUCUGGAAACUAAUACAUUAACUUUUUCCAUAUAUUAACAAAAAGCGAAUGCGAAAUUAUGGCUGCGGAUAGAAAUAAAUUCCAUUUUACCGGACGGAGCACACAGAUGAAGAAAUCAAGACAUCAGAAAUGGUGAAAACAGGAGAAACAGUAUCCAUAUGAAUGGGGCCGGAGUGCGGCUCACACUUGGCUGCACAGGCUGAUUCCUGUAACCCAAACUUGCCAUCAAUCCACGAAGGAGGCCGAUCAGAGAGCUGUCAAGCCGGCAGAGCUGAGUGGUUAUUCUGAAAACUGUAAGGAUGCACUUUGCGGAAGAGGUGCAUUACUGCACCAAGCAGGAUGCCUGAAGCCGGAGCGACCCGUCCGAGUGGGAAAAGCAAAUGAUCCGCAAAACUGCGAUCAGAGGCCCGAUAAAUUAUCAUGCACACAUAAACGUUACACACACACACACACACGUAUAUUAUAUGUAUGGCUUGUAUAUAUUCCUGCAUAGAGGUUCUUGAAUGUUUAUAAGAAAGUCGCCUGACUUUUUGCUUCCUUACGUUUUAGAAGAUGGUUUCUGCGAAAUAAUCGGGCGACAAGUGCAUGAGCCCCGUACUUUAGUAUUGCAUAAGAGGACCUGACAGAAAAGAAAAUGAGACGGACGGACACCGACGGAAACGAGACAUGCAAAGACACGGAGACACACAAAGACAAAGACACAAACGGCCGGACGAUUACAUGCAACAGCUCCGGGGCGCUGCUCUAUACGCUUUAGCGCAAAUAAAGCAAAA
This is a long non-coding RNA of Paramormyrops kingsleyae, 2443 nucleotides long. RefSeq lists it as uncharacterized. Lineage: Eukaryota; Metazoa; Chordata; Actinopteri; Osteoglossiformes; Mormyridae. The record is from RefSeq and is a predicted model, not a curated record.